RNAcentral lists this ribosomal RNA (1300 nucleotides) under Streptomyces durbertensis. Its description in RNAcentral is "partial 23S ribosomal RNA". It matches the Rfam family "Bacterial large subunit ribosomal RNA", at positions 1 to 1216 of the family's 2925-position model. The record is from RNAcentral. Lineage: Bacteria; Bacillati; Actinomycetota; Actinomycetes; Kitasatosporales; Streptomycetaceae.
ACAGUGGACGCGAGCAUCUGUGGCCAAGUAUUUAAGGGCGCACGGUGGAUGCCUUGGUACCAGGAACCGAUGAAGGACGUGGGAGGCCGCGAUAGGCCCCGGGGAGCUGUCAACCGAGCUUUGAUCCGGGGGUGUCCGAAUGGGGAAACCCGGCAGUCGUCAUGGGCUGUCACCCAUACCUGAACGCAUAGGGUAUGUGGAGGGAACGCGGGGAAGUGAAACAUCUCAGUACCCGCAGGAAGAGAAAACAACCGUGAUUCCGGGAGUAGUGGCGAGCGAAACCGGAUGAGGCUAAACCGUAUGUGUGUGAUACCCGGCAGGGGUUGCGCAUACGGGGUCGUGGGAGUUCUCUUGAUCGGUCUGCCGGCCGGUCGGCGAGUGAGAAACCGUUGUGGUAGGCGAAGGGCAUGCGAAAGGCCCGGCGUAGAGGGUAAGACCCCCGUAGCUGAAACUGCAACGGCUCGUUUGAGGACCACCCAAGUAGCAUGGGGCCCGAGAAAUCCUGUGUGAAUCUGGCGGGACCACCCGCUAAGCCUAAAUAUUCCCUGGUGACCGAUAGUGGAUAGUACCGUGAGGGAAUGGUGAAAAGUACCGCGGGAGCGGAGUGAAAUAGUACCUGAAACCGUGUGCCUACAAGCCGUGGGAGCGUCGCAUGCCAAGCUUGCUUGGUGUGUCGUGACUGCGUGCCUUUUGAAGAAUGAGCCUGCGAGUUUGCGGUACGUUGCGAGGUUAACCCGUGUGGGGAAGCCGUAGCGAAAGCGAGUCCGAAUAGGGCGUUCGAGUAGCGUGCUCAAGACCCGAAGCGGAGUGAUCUAGCCAUGGGCAGGGUGAAGCGGCUGUAAGAGGUCGUGGAGGCCCGAACCCACCAGGGUUGAAAACCUGGGGGAUGACCUGUGGUUAGGGGUGAAAGGCCAAUCAAACUCCGUGAUAGCUGGUUCUCCCCGAAAUGCAUUUAGGUGCAGCGUCGUGUGUUUCUUGCCGGAGGUAGAGCACUGGAUAGGCGAUGGGCCCUACCGGGUUACUGACCUUAGCCAAACUCCGAAUGCCGGUAAGUGAGAGCGCGGCAGUGAGACUGUGGGGGAUAAGCUCCAUGGUCGAGAGGGAAACAGCCCAGAGCAUCGACUAAGGCCCCUAAGCGUGUGCUAAGUGGGAAAGGAUGUGGAGUCGCAGAGACAACCAGGAGGUUGGCUUAGAAGCAGCCAUCCUUGAAAGAGUGCGUAAUAGCUCACUGGUCAAGUGAUUCCGCGCCGACAAUGUAGCGGGGCUCAAGUACACCGCCGAAGUCGUGUCACUCCAACAU